RNAcentral lists this ribosomal RNA (500 nucleotides) under uncultured bacterium. Its description in RNAcentral is "partial 16S ribosomal RNA". It matches the Rfam family "Bacterial small subunit ribosomal RNA", at positions 30 to 523 of the family's 1533-position model. The record is from RNAcentral.
AUUGAACGCUGGCGGAAUGCUUUACACAUGCAAGUCGAACGGCAGCACGGACUUCGGUCUGGUGGCGAGUGGCGAACGGGUGAGUAAUGUAUCGGAACGUGCCCAGUCGUGGGGGAUAACGUAGUGAAAAUUACGCUAAUACCGCAUACGAUCUAUGGAUGAAAGCGGGGGAUCGCAAGACCUCGCGCGAUUGGAGCGGCCGAUAUCAGAGUAGGUAGUUGGUGGGGUAAAGGCCCACCAAGCCAACGAUCUGUAGCUGGUCUGAGAGGACGACCAGCCACACUGGAACUGAGACACGGUCCAGACUCCUACGGGAGGCAGCAGUGGGGAAUUUUGGACAAUGGGCGAAAGCCUGAUCCAGCCAUUCCGCGUGCAGGAUGAAGGCCCUCGGGUUGUAAACUGCUUUUGUACAGAACGAAAGGGUUUCUACUAAUACUAGGAGCUCAUGACGGUACUGUAAGAAUAAGCACCGGCUAACUACGUGCCAGCCGCCGCUGUAA